RNA transcript from Lolium rigidum, 1483 nucleotides. It is a transcript of the gene named protein MULTIPOLAR SPINDLE 1-like, with no coding region annotated. The transcript is spliced from 10 exons. NCBI's taxonomy places the organism in Eukaryota, Viridiplantae, Streptophyta, Magnoliopsida, Poales, Poaceae. The record is from RefSeq and is a predicted model, not a curated record.
AGAGCCGCCGCCGCCGCGGGCACCUCCACCCCGCCUCUCAUCCACUGGAAGCGCAAGGUCUCAUCCAUUCCCCUUACCACAAGACCCUAAUUCCUCCUCUACCUCAUGCCCCCCUCUUCUCCCGCCCAGGCUAAGGAGCGGAAGCGCGAGAUCCUCCGCCUCCGCGAAGAGCUCAAGAUCCUCCAAGAUGGGGUGCGCGGGGAGGAGACGGAGCCGCCAGUCGCGUCGUGCCGGUGCCACUUCUUCGAUGGGUGCGGGGACCUACAGCCGCAGCAGCCGCCCGGUGGCGGGGAGCACUGGGUCGACGAGGUGCUGCGGAGGAGGUUCCUCAGAUUGGCGCGGUGGAAGGAGAAGCGGCGGAGACUGGAUCGACCUCUUCCAGUCACUAGUUUGAUGGAGUUCAAUAGAGAGGAUGAGAUACAGCAGCUUAGCUUGUCAACUGAUUUCCUGGUGGAGCUAUCAGAUGGCAUCUUUGCCAAAAGGGACUCUAUGUCCUCAUUUGCUACAUUCUCUCACCAAGCAGUAGACUUCAUUUUGGCUUCACUAAGGAACAUUCUAUCAACAAAAAGGGAAAGGGAACUGGUUGAGGAGAUAAUUGAUGGUCUAGUAGCACGUUUGAUGAAAAGGAUGUGUACCAUUUCUGAAAAUAAUUGUACUUCAGAUUCAGGAUCAGUUGACUGCUCAGAUGCCCAAUUUUCUGUGCAGCACUUGUUCCGGAAGUUAGGACAGGAAGAGUUCAUUGGUCAGCGGAUAAUCCUUGUAGUUUCUCAAAAGAUCUCAAAUCUAUCAGAAAUGUUACUUCUGGUAGAUCCGUUUGAUGAUUCCUUCCCUGAUAUGCAUGGCAAUAUGUUCAUUAUGAUUCAAUUAAUCGAGUUUCUCAUAUCUGAUUACAUAAAAAAUUGGCUAUGUUGCGAGCAAUUUGACAAAAAUUUUUUUGAAGAAUGGGUCAGAUCUAUUCUCAAGGCACGCAAAGACUUGGAAGUCCUAGAAAACAUAAAUGGGCUGUAUGUUGUGUACAUUGAGCGAGUGGUUGGAAGGUUGGCAAGGGAGGUGGCUCCUGCUGCCCAUCAGGGGAAGCUGAACCUUGACGUCUUCUCCAAACUCCUGUGCUGAGAACGUCCAGCCUAAGACUUGCCAAUGUAUUAACUCACAAGUCACUUGACUCACAAGUCAACAUGUUUAAUAAUUUUCUGUUUUGCUGUUAUUCUGGAACCACAUCUUGUCUCAUUGUUCUCUAAUACUCGCAUAGUCAAUUUCAGGAUGCUUACCUACAGUAAGACGUUGCAGCAGCAAGCUGCUGUUCUUUUCCUCAUUGUAUGGCCAGGAACCAAGACAUAGCCAAAGUAUGUUAUAUUAACUCCCAUCACGUGUGGAUGCGUAGUUACUGCGAAUCACUUUACUGUAACCAUUUAUGUACUGGAAUUAUUUAUUCUAGAAACUUAUAUAUAUAUGGAUUCUGGCAUAUAAGAGAAACUUAAGAAUC